UGAGGAAUAUUGGUCAAUGGGCGAGAGCCUGAACCAGCCAAGUAGCGUGCAGGAUGACGGCCCUAUGGGUUGUAAACUGCUUUUAUAUGGGAAUAAAGUUAGGGACGUGUCCCUUAUUGCAUGUACCAUAUGAAUAAGGACCGGCUAAUUCCGUGCCAGCAGCCGCGGUAAUACGGAAGGUCCAGGCGUUAUCCGGAUUUAUUGGGUUUAAAGGGAGCGUAGGCUGUUUGUUAAGCGUGUUGUGAAAUGUAAGAGCUCAACUUUUAGAUUGCAGCGCGAACUGGCAGACUUGAGUGCGCACAACGUAGGCGGAAUUCAUGGUGUAGCGGUGAAAUGCUUAGAUAUCAUGACGAACUCCGAUUGCGAAGGCAGCUUACGGGAGCGCAACUGACGCUAAAGCUCGAAGGUGCGGGUAUCGAACAGG
RNAcentral lists this ribosomal RNA (424 nucleotides) under Verrucomicrobiota bacterium. RNAcentral's name for it is "Verrucomicrobia bacterium partial 16S ribosomal RNA". It matches the Rfam family "Bacterial small subunit ribosomal RNA", at positions 355 to 776 of the family's 1533-position model. The record is from RNAcentral. Lineage: Bacteria; Pseudomonadati; Verrucomicrobiota.